Molecule: ribosomal RNA, 605 nt
Filed under: Hyphodontia sp. 1 KUC20121019-31
Lineage: Eukaryota; Fungi; Basidiomycota; Agaricomycetes; Hymenochaetales; Schizoporaceae
Description: eukaryotic LSU rRNA
Rfam family: Eukaryotic large subunit ribosomal RNA
Source: RNAcentral
UAACAAGGAUUCCCCUAGUAACUGCGAGUGAAGCGGGAAAAGCUCAAAUUUAAAAUCUAACAGUUUCACUGUUCGAGUUGUAAUCUGGAGAAGCAUUUUCCGUGUUGGACCGUGUACAAGUCUCUUGGAAUAGAGCGUCAUAGAGGGUGAAAAUCCCGUCCAUGACACGGACUACCGAUACUUUGUGAUAUGCUCUCGAAGAGUCGAGUUGUUUGGGAAUGCAGCUCAAAAUGGGUGGUAAAUUCCAUCUAAAGCUAAAUAUUGGCGAGAGACCGAUAGCGAACAAGUACCGUGAGGGAAAGAUGAAAAGUACUUUGGAAAGAGAGUUAAACAGUAUGUGAAAUUGUUGAAAGGGAAACGCUUGAAGUCAGUCGCGUUGUCUGAGACUCAGCCUUGCUCUUUUGCCUGGUGUAUUUCUUAGUUAACGGGUCAACAUCAAUUUUGGUUGGUGGAUAAAGGUAGAGGGAAUGUGGCAUUCUUCGGGAUGUGUUAUAGCCCUUUAUUGCAUACACUGACUGGGAUUGAGGAACGCAGCACGCCUUUUUGGCCGGGGGGUUCCCCUCACUUAACGUGUUUAGAAUGUUAACUUAAGGGUUUUAACCAAC